RNAcentral lists this ribosomal RNA (472 nucleotides) under uncultured bacterium. RNAcentral describes it as "partial 16S ribosomal RNA". It matches the Rfam family "Bacterial small subunit ribosomal RNA", at positions 28 to 523 of the family's 1533-position model. The record is from RNAcentral.
GACGAACGCUGGCGGCGUGCUUAACACAUGCAAGUCGAACGGGAGUAUUGAGGAAGCUUGCUUUAGAGAUACUUUAGUGGCGGACGGGUGAGUAACGCGUGAGGAGCUGUCCAAUGCAGGGGGACAACAGUUGGAAACGACUGCUAAUACCCCAUAAGCCGAGAGGUAAAAGGAUUUAUCCGGCAAUGGAGGUACUCGCGUCCUAUCAGCUAGUAGGUGAGGUAACGGCUCACCUAGGCGAAGACGGGUAGCCGGCCUGAGAGGGCGAACGGCCACACUGGAACUGAGAUACGGUCCAGACUCCUACGGGAGGCAGCAGUGGGGAAUAUUGGGCAAUGGGGGGAACCCUGACCCAGCGACGCCGCGUGGGUGAAGAAAUCCUUCGGGAUGUAAAGCCCUGUUGUAUGGGAAGAGCGGAAGACGGUACCGGAAGAAUAAGCCCCGGCAAACUUCGUGCCAGCAGCCGCGGUAA